GCACCCACAAGGGGAUAAGGGAUUUCCUUCAAAGUUUCUACAUUCAAAACAUCGUUCUUCCUUCUAUCACCUGCAAUGCUUGCCAUAAGAAGAAGUCCAUUUCCUGUAAUAUAUCCUCUGUUAUCUGCCACUAUCAUCCUGGAUAGAAGAAAUAGAAAACGCGUUAUAAUUUUGGAAGCAAACUGUUGUCGUUCACAGUAGCUGAUUCAAAGACCUUACUCUUUGCGGUUUUGAAACACAGUUCUAUCUCUUCUUCACCAUUUCUGUCUUCAGUUAGCAAACGGUUGUCAUUCACAGAGGAUGAUUCAAUAACCUUACACUUUUCGGUUUUGAAAUACAGUUCUAGCUCUUCUUCACCAAUUCAGUGUUCAGUUAGCAUCCCCUGUAUAACUGAUUGUAUUUCAGAUGGUUGAGUUCCCAAAGAUGUACUUUUUAAGUUUAUACAGGAAAACUACAGGAUGUUUAAGGCAUAUGACAGCCGGGGUACUGCCAAUUGUAACAUAUCUGCCACUAUUUGUAAGAUCUGCUUUUCUUCAUGUUGCACCAAUCUACGUAUCUUGUAUUACACUUUUGUUGCAACAAGCAUCUUCCUUUGA
Ziziphus jujuba (common jujube) is the source of this 596-nucleotide long non-coding RNA. RefSeq lists it as uncharacterized. The transcript has 6 exons. The record is from RefSeq and is a predicted model, not a curated record. NCBI's taxonomy places the organism in Eukaryota, Viridiplantae, Streptophyta, Magnoliopsida, Rosales, Rhamnaceae.